CCUACGGGAGGCAGCAGUGGGGAAUAUUGCACAAUGGGGGAAACCCUGAUGCAGCGACGCCGCGUGAGUGAAGAAGUAUUUCGGUACGUAAAGCUCUAUCAGCAGGGAAGAAAAUGACGGUAACUGAUUAAGAAGCCCCGGCUAACUACGUGCCAGCAGCCGCGGUAAUACGAAGGGGGAACGCGUUAUCCGGAUUUACUGGGUGUAAAGGGAGCGUAGACGGCAGUACAAGUCUGGAGUGAAAGGCCGGGGCUUAACCCCGGAACUGCUUUGGAAACUGUGCAGCUUGAGUGCAGGAGAGGUAAGUGGAAUUCCAAGUGUAGCGGUGAAAUGCGUAGAUAUUAGGAGGAACACCAGUGGCGAAGGCGGCUUACUGGACUGUAACUGACGUUGAGGCUCGAAAGCGUGGGGAGCAAACAGGAUUAGAUACCCGAGUAGUC
This 440-nucleotide ribosomal RNA is filed under the name uncultured bacterium. Its description in RNAcentral is "partial 16S ribosomal RNA". It matches the Rfam family "Bacterial small subunit ribosomal RNA", at positions 338 to 795 of the family's 1533-position model. The record is from RNAcentral.